Molecule: ribosomal RNA, 1406 nt
Filed under: uncultured bacterium
Lineage: Bacteria
Description: bacterial SSU rRNA
Rfam family: Bacterial small subunit ribosomal RNA
Source: RNAcentral
AGAGUUUGAUCCUGGCUCAGGAUGAACGCUAGCGACAGGCUUAACACAUGCAAGUCGAGGGGCAGCGGGGGCGAAGCUUGCUUCGCCUGCCGGCGACCGGCGCACGGGUGAGUAACACGUAUGCGACCUGCCCCCCGCAGGGGGAUAACCGGGAGAAAUCCCGACUAAUACCGCGUAACGCCGCUGGGCUGCAUGGCCCGGCGGCCAAAGGAAGCGAUUCCGGCGGGGGAUGGGCAUGCGGCGCAUUAGCUAGUCGGCGGGGUAACGGCCCACCGAGGCGACGAUGCGUAGGGGUUCUGAGAGGAAGGUCCCCCACACUGGUACUGAGACACGGACCAGACUCCUACGGGAGGCAGCAGUGAGGAAUAUUGGUCAAUGGGCGGGAGCCUGAACCAGCCAAGUCGCGUGAGGGAAGACGGUCCUACGGAUUGUAAACCUCUUUUGCCGGGGAGCAACGGGGUCCUUGCGAGGGCCCGAUGAGAGUACCCGGAGAAAAAGCAUCGGCUAACUCCGUGCCAGCAGCCGCGGUAAUACGGAGGAUGCGAGCGUUAUCCGGAUUUAUUGGGUUUAAAGGGUGCGUAGGCGGGCUGUUAAGUCAGCGGUCAAAUGUCGGGGCUCAACCCCGGCCUGCCGUUGAAACUGGCGGCCUCGAGUGGGCGAGAAGUAUGCGGAAUGCGUGGUGUAGCGGUGAAAUGCAUAGAUAUCACGCAGAACUCCGAUUGCGAAGGCAGCAUACCGGCGCCCGACUGACGCUGAGGCACGAAAGCGUGGGUAUCGAACAGGAUUAGAUACCCUGGUAGUCCACGCAGUAAACGAUGAAUGCUAGCUGUCCGGUUCUACGGGACUGGGUGGCACAGCGAAAGCGUUAAGCAUUCCACCUGGGGAGUACGCCGGCAACGGUGAAACUCAAAGGAAUUGACGGGGGCCCGCACAAGCGGAGGAACAUGUGGUUUAAUUCGAUGAUACGCGAGGAACCUUACCCGGGCUCAAACGCCAAAGGACAGCCGUUGAAAGGCGGCCUCCCUCCGGGGUCUUUGGCGAGGUGCUGCAUGGUUGUCGUCAGCUCGUGCCGUGAGGUGUCGGCUUAAGUGCCAUAACGAGCGCAACCCCCAUCGACAGUUGCUAACGGGUAGAGCCGAGGACUCUGUCGAGACUGCCGGCGCAAGCUGCGAGGAAGGCGGGGAUGACGUCAAAUCAGCACGGCCCUUACGUCCGGGGCGACACACGUGUUACAAUGGCCGGUACAGCGGGAUGCCAGGGCGCGAGCCCGAGCGGAACCCGAAAACCGGUCUCAGUUCGGAUUGGAGUCUGCAACCCGACUCCAUGAAGCUGGAUUCGCUAGUAAUCGCGCAUCAGCCACGGCGCGGUGAAUACGUUCCCGGGCCUUGCACACACCGCCCGUCAAG